This 135-nucleotide ribosomal RNA is filed under the name uncultured bacterium. Its description in RNAcentral is "partial 16S rRNA". It matches the Rfam family "Bacterial small subunit ribosomal RNA", at positions 355 to 507 of the family's 1533-position model. The record is from RNAcentral.
UGGGGAAUUUUGCGCAAUGGGCGAAAGCCUGACGCAGCGACGCCGCGUGGAGGAUGAAGGUCUUCGGAUUGUAAACUCCUUUUGCAGGGGAAGAUAAUGACGGUACCCUGCGAAUAAGCCACGGCUAACUCUGUG